RNAcentral lists this ribosomal RNA (429 nucleotides) under Acidobacteriota bacterium. RNAcentral describes it as "Acidobacteria bacterium partial 16S ribosomal RNA". It matches the Rfam family "Bacterial small subunit ribosomal RNA", at positions 355 to 776 of the family's 1533-position model. Lineage: Bacteria; Pseudomonadati; Acidobacteriota. The record is from RNAcentral.
UGGGGAAUUUUGGACAAUGGGGGAAACCCUGAUCCAGCCAUCCCGCGUGUGCGAUGAAGGCCUUCGGGUUGUAAAGCACUUUUGGCAGGAAAGAAACGUCAUGGGUUAAUACCCCGUGAAACUGACGGUACCUGCAGAAUAAGCACCGGCUAACUACGUGCCAGCAGCCGCGGUAAUACGUAGGGUGCAAGCGUUAAUCGGAAUUACUGGGCGUAAAGCGUGCGCAGGCGGUUCGGAAAGAAAGAUGUGAAGUCCCAGAGCUCAACUUUGGAACUGCAUUUUUAACUACCGGGCUAGAGUGUGUCAGAGGGAGGUGGAAUUCCGCGUGUAGCAGUGAAAUGCGUAGAUAUGCGGAGGAACACCGAUGGCGAAGGCAGCCUCCUGGGAUAACACUGACGCUCAUGCACGAAAGCGUGGGGAGCAAACAGG